This 476-nucleotide ribosomal RNA is filed under the name uncultured bacterium. RNAcentral's name for it is "partial 16S ribosomal RNA". It matches the Rfam family "Bacterial small subunit ribosomal RNA", at positions 28 to 523 of the family's 1533-position model. The record is from RNAcentral.
GACGAACGCUGGCGGCGUGCCUAACACAUGCAAGUCGAGCGAUGAAGUUCUUCGGAACGGAUUAGCGGCGGACGGGUGAGUAACACGUGGGCAACCUGCCUUGUAGAGGGGAAUAGCCUUCCGAAAGGAAGAUUAAUACCGCAUAAUAUUGUGUCUUCGCAUGAAGAUAUAAUUAAAGGAGUAAUCCGCUACAAGAUGGGCCCGCGGCGCAUUAGCUAGUGGGUGAGGUAACGGCCCACCAAGGCAACGAUGCGUAGCCGACCUGAGAGGGCGUUCGGCCACAUUGGGACUGAGACACGUCCCAGACUCCUACGGGAGGCAGCAGUGGGGAAUAUUGCACAAUGGGGGAAACCCUGAUGCAGCAACGCCGCGUGAGUGAUGACGGCCUUCGGGUUGUAAAGCUCUUUUACCCGGGACGAUAAUGACUGUAACGGGAGAAUAAGCCCCGGCUAACUUCGUGCCAGCAGCCGCGGUAA